UACGAAGGUCCCGAGCGUUGUUCGGAAUCACUGGGCGUAAAGGGAGCGUAGGCGGCGCGGUAAGUCAGAUGUGAAAUCCCGGGGCUCAACCCCGGAACUGCAUCCGAUACUGCCGUGCUAGAGGAUUGGAGAGGUAGCUGGAAUUCUUGGUGUAGCAGUGAAAUGCGUGGAUAUCAAGAGGAACACUCGUGGCGAAAGCGAGCUACUGGACAACUCCUGACGCUGAGGCUCGAAGGCUGGGGUAGCGAAAGGG
RNAcentral lists this ribosomal RNA (253 nucleotides) under uncultured bacterium. RNAcentral describes it as "partial 16S ribosomal RNA". It matches the Rfam family "Bacterial small subunit ribosomal RNA", at positions 524 to 776 of the family's 1533-position model. The record is from RNAcentral.